CUGAUGUGGUGGGGUUGUGAGGAACUUCACGCUGGCUUGUGUUGGACGAUUUCGCCCACACAACGAAGGCUUGAACGAGUGAAAGCGUCAGCGUGGUGAUCUGUUUCAUUUCUGUGCCAGCUAACGCGGCAACACAGAGUGAUUUUCCUCUUUGUAGGAGGAGAAGUUAGUACUCCUUUUCCAGGUUCUUUUGAGGAAAUCGAGUAGUCUACGGUGUACCUGGAACAAGAGAAUGCGCCUCCAGUGAAGAAUAAACUCCUUAGCCUUUGGGGGAAGCCAGCCCAGUUCCUUGGUUUACCGACGGACCGCUAGACCUUGCUUCCUCUUGGAGAUUCCCUUCCUGCAUGGCCCACUACUUCCUCAAGUUUCUUGAGGAAGUUUGGUGACAUGGGAGUUGGGAAGCUCAAACCAUGGGGAGCAAGACGAGGUGAUAGCCUCGUCUUGCAACACUGGGAAGUAAUCUUGGUCAUAGCGGGCCAAGGUGAAGCAAAGAACUGAAGGAUUGCUUGCUCGUCACCUGGGAGGAGGCUCUCCUCCUGGCAAG
This 544-nucleotide ribosomal RNA is filed under the name Kudoa thalassomi. Its description in RNAcentral is "partial small subunit ribosomal RNA". The record is from RNAcentral. Lineage: Eukaryota; Metazoa; Cnidaria; Myxozoa; Multivalvulida; Kudoidae.